This 552-nucleotide ribosomal RNA is filed under the name uncultured archaeon. RNAcentral describes it as "bacterial SSU rRNA". It matches the Rfam family "Archaeal small subunit ribosomal RNA", at positions 25 to 585 of the family's 1478-position model. The record is from RNAcentral.
CACUGCUAUCGGGGUUCGAUUAAGCCAUGCGAGUCGAGAGGGUUCAGACCCUCGGCGCACUGCUCAGUAACACGUGGAUAACCUACCCUGAGGAGGGGGAUAACCCCGGGAAACUGGGGAUAAUACCUCAUAGGUUUCAGAUGCUGGAAUGCUCUGAAACCGAAAUGCUCCGGCGCCUCAGGAUGGAUCUGCGGCCGAUUAGGUUGUUGUUGGGGUAACGGCCCAACAAGCCCGUCAUCGGUACGGGUUGUGAGAGCAAGAGCCCGGAGAUGGAUUCUGAGACACCAAUCCAGGCCCUACGGGGCGCAGCAGGCGCGAAACCUUUACAAUGCGAGCAAUCGUGAUAAGGGAACCCCGAGUGCCUGAAACCAGGCUGUUCAGGUGUUUAAAAAGCACCUGGAGAAAGGGCCGGGCAAGACCGGUGCCAGCCGCCGCGGUAAUACCGGCGGCUCGAGUGGUGGCCGCUAUUAUUGGGCUUAAAGCGUUCGUAGCUGGGUUGUUAAGUCUCUUGGGAAAUCUCACGGCUCAACCGUGAGGCGACUAAGAGAUACU